CGCGGGGCUAGCGCGGGCGUUCGCCGUUACUUCAGCCAUCGGGGUGAGGGCGGGCUCCGCGCCUGCGGAGCGAGGGACUUGGAACUUCCGUUUUACUGCAGAUACUUUUAAAGAAGAAAGAUUCUAAAAUUAUGGACUACUUGCAGGUAAUAAUGGGUUAAGUCUUCACAUCUGCCUGUGAUGAACACUGUGUUUAUGUGCUGUUUAAUGUUAUUUUUCUUCUGUCAGAUCAAAAGAUGCCUUUCUUAGGGGGAAAGAGUGAAACAGGACAGCCCUGAAUGUCAGCUUUCUCUCCAAAAAUGAAAAAAAAAAAAAAAAAGCAGCAGUAAGAUAAUCUUGAUUAAAGCUGACUAUGAAUAGGAACUUUGAGAAAUUUUGUCAAGAACUGCAUGAGUACUUGAUUAAUCACACAUACAUUUAUCUGUAGGCUAUGCUACAGGAAACAGGCAUGGUGAAUUACAGGGAAAGUCAAUUUUCAUCUCUUUCAAAGUGAUGUUUCCUGCCACAGCGAGGCAAAUCUCCUGCAGUAACUUUGCCAUUUAUACUGAAAUCCUGCUUUGCUGUCAGAUGAGCUGAGGGUAUUCUUAGCCAGUUAAUGUGAAUGUCAGUAUAAUGCAGCUGCUCUACAGUGCCUUACAUUAUAAAAGUAGGACAGACUAGAAUUAUUAGAAGUCACCAGGUUAUUUGUAAAUCAGAGCAGUGCUGGUUGGUACUUGUCAGUAGAUAGUUCUGACUCUUUUUUCUAUCCCAGAGACUACUAAAAAAAGUCGUUUCAGAUUCUGAAUGGCCAGGGCAUAGCUGUUCUUUCUAAUGAGUUACCUAAGAUUAUAUUUCCUCAGAUCAUUUGGUCAAAAUGAGAAUCCUAUGAAGUGCAGCAGCAUACAGCAACACGCGCACGACGAAAAUGAUUUGAUAUGGCAGAAGUUCAUUAAGCUUGACCUUUUUCUUCAGAUGGUAGACUUAGUAAAACUGAAAUGCAGCAGUGUUGUAAUGUGUGAUUCUAUCUUUAUUCUUUUGCUAUACGAAUUUCAGUCAGUGGUUGUUACCCAGCAAAAUUUGCUGCUGAAGUUAGAACUGCUGUUCUGUUGUGCACCUGUGCUCCUGCUGCUGUUUUGCAACAAACUUGACAUUAAUGAGCUACGAGAUGGAGAACAAUGAAUUCAGUUCACAAUCGUUUAUCAUUAUUAACAAUGACAGCAAGAGAGCCUUGCACUGAAGGUGAUAUACAUACUGCUAUCAUUUUGCUUUGUGACCCCAGCACAUUUGCAGUCAGGAAGGCAGAGAAGAAUCGAAGCUCAAACAGAGCAGUCCCGGAGCUAUCAGCACAAUACAUGUUUCUACGAAAGCUUUAGUGCCAGCAUUCACAGCAGUGAUGGAGUGGGCUUGAAUUGUCCUGUGCCUGACUACAUGAUGGUGAGAAUACAGUUGUGCUCACUGAGUUGGGCAUGCCCAGGACCCAGCUAGUCUAGAUCAAUAAGGGCCACCAGUCUGAUUUGGUUCAGAAACCACAACAAAAUCAGGUUUGAGCUUUCUCAGGCUGUACAUAGGAAUUCAGCUGUAUUUUACCAGCUGAGUCACAAUAAUAUCUCAAUUAAGUACAUCCAAUGCAUUGCAAAAUGGCUCCCCCAAAAAGCUUCCUUUUUGAAGUAGAAAGUGUUGAUGAGCAUCUACUGGAAGGCAAAAGUCUUUCUCUUUUUGUCCACUGGCUGAUCUUGAGUUUGUGCAGGUUCAGUGCUAAUAGGGUAAACAGGACUGAAAACUCACUGUGUGUAUAUACAUACAAACUUGACUGUGGCGUACAACUUCUUAAAUUGACUGGAAAAAUACAAAUAAUUUUGGGUGUAUGUUUUGAGAGUGAAAGAAGAGCAUAAUUGUUGUUACAGAUGUAUUAUUCAUACUUUAUAUUUUGGACUUGAAUUCUCUGAUUUCUAAUUUCUUGCUUAAGGUAAAGGCAGCAUAAAAUGAAUAAUUGUUUAAUCAGGAGGAAUUUAGCAAGCUUUUUUAUGUAGUCAGGUUAUGUCAUAAAGCAAGAAAAGUAAUCAUGUGAUUUGGCUUAUUACCACUAAUUAAUUUCCAUUUCCAUUUUGGGACAUUACAGAGUUUAAAUUUUACAGUUACUACAGAAAAACAGACACUGGAGAUUCUUCUCAGUCUCCUUUAGCAGAAACAUUACCUGUAUUGGAAUGCUCUGAUGUAAUUGAACUUAAUGAGCACGUGAGAUUUUGGGGGAGAAUAAGAAGUACUGGCCUAGCUGCUAUAAUGAAUAUUCCAUUCAAGUUAGAAUAAGACUGCAAGGAAACAUUUUCCUGAAGGGAUACGCCACACAGUAAAAUCCCUCCUGUUUAAAGAUAACUACCUCUGAAAGUGUCUAAAUGUGUAGAUUUCCCCUUUAGGAUGUGUUUAUAUUUAAUGUUCCUAUUUAAGGUAUAUUUAAAGUCUCCUUUAUUCACCUUUUUUGAACAAAGUUUGUGAGAGACUUACAUCUCACCAGUAGCGAGUGCUAUUUUGUCCACAGUUCUCUCCAGCCACAGCUGUGAGAAGACAAGAAAUGGAACACGUUAUGGUUUAGGCUAUCUAGAAUGAUUUAGAAUAUUAUGAUAAGAUUAUGUUUGAAUUUUCCAAGGGAAUUAAUGGAAAGAAACCUACUGUAGUCACAUUUCAACUUGCCUUAGCAGAGCAACUAAUCUUCAUCAGCCAGGUCUGGCAGUAAAAGAUUGACUGUUAUCACUCAUUUUUCUGCAGUCUACUCUAUGCAAAUAACCUUCAAGUCACACUUUUAAAUAAGUCCAUCACUUGCUUGAGACAUGCAGUGGGAGAGGGAGUGUAAAGAGAAACUGAAUAAGACUUACUAAGCAUGGAGCAAGUCAGACUUCCAGUUGGACAAGUACUUAGCAUGCAUUUAUCUGAUACACUGUAUAUCAAAGGCUGACUGGGUUUUCUAACCCAUGUGUUAGAAGCAAGCAGCCUCCUCAUUUGUUAUCUAGAAACAAACAUCCUGAUUCUGCACUUCAAAACAACUUUUAUGCCUACAGCAGGUAUGUAAAAGGCUACAUACUAAAAAUAAUGUUGACUUACAUCAGUCUUGCAUAAAUAUAUAUAGUUCUGUAAAAGCUAACCUUACAGAAUCACGGGAUAGUUAAGGACGGAAAGAACUGUGUUGGAGGUCAUCUCAUCCCACCUCCCUGCUCAGGGAGGAUCACUGAGACCAGGCUGCCCAGGACCACAGCAGCUCCUCUGAAAGGAACCCACUGAUGGCUGUCAUUCCUUCUCAGUUACACAAAGUGUAUCACAACUGUGUCCAAGAAAUAUACUUAAAACUAAACCUUCUGCUGCAGCAGUGGAGAUAGAUGAACAGACUCUGCUUUGUCACACAUCACCUCAGCUCGAAGAGCACUCGAAGAAAAGAAGAGAAGGAUGCAUCUGUUUGUGAAUGGCUAAAGUGCAUCGUAGGACUGUUCAUAUUUGUGAAUGCAAAUUAAGAUAGUAGCACUUGCAAGAUGAAUCCAUUAAACAGAAGUAAAGCUUAGAAACUAUGUUAAUGUUA
Long non-coding RNA from Lagopus leucura (white-tailed ptarmigan), 3544 nucleotides. RefSeq lists it as uncharacterized. The record is from RefSeq and is a predicted model, not a curated record. Lineage: Eukaryota; Metazoa; Chordata; Aves; Galliformes; Phasianidae. The transcript is spliced from 4 exons.